Mastomys coucha (southern multimammate mouse) is the source of this 423-nucleotide long non-coding RNA. RefSeq lists it as uncharacterized. The record is from RefSeq and is a predicted model, not a curated record. Lineage: Eukaryota; Metazoa; Chordata; Mammalia; Rodentia; Muridae. The transcript has 3 exons.
CCAAGGAGCACUUGAUUGCAGAAACCUGGGAGAGGCUAGAGGCAACCAUCUGAAACCUGAAGCCAGUGAAACACAUCCCUUAGAGAGAGAGACAUAGUGUUGAGGAAUGGAGACCCUCCUUGUCCUCUAACAAAACUAGGAUGUGGAGAGCUGAGUGGUGCUCAUGGACCACCCACACAGCUCCAGGAAGGAGGAAUGGUUCACUUCAUGAAACAAACCUGUCCAGUCAUGCUACAAUCACAGAGUGGGAUUCAAACCCGAGCGAGCCAACGGCGACUCCAUCUUGUGUUGGAUUGCCGUGACGGAAGAGACUGCGCAUCAGCCCCUUGCCAGCUGAUGGGCUAAGGAGGUGAGCAGAGCACCCUGGGAAGUCGCCUGCUUUGGGUGUGUAUGGGGGUGAUGACCACAGCUUUUGCUAUGGGC